GAUAACUAGCUGUCGGGGCUCUUAGAGCUUCGGUGGCGCAGCUAACGCAUUAAGUUAUCCGCCUGGGGAGUACGGCCGCAAGGUUAAAACUCAAAUGAAUUGACGGGGGCCUGCACAAGCGGUGGAGCAUGUGGUUUAAUUCGAAGCAACGCGCAGAACCUUACCAGCGUUUGACAUGUCCGGACGAUUUCGGGAGACCGAUCUCUUCCCUUCGGGGACUGGAACACAGGUGCUGCAUGGCUGUCGUCUGCUCGUGUCGUGAGAUGUUGGGUUAAGUCCCGCAACGAGCGCAACCCUCGUCCUUAGUUGCCAUCAUUUAGUUGGGCACUCUAAGGAAACCGCCGGUGAUAAGCCGGAGGAAGGUGGGGAUGACGUCAAGUCCUCAUGGCCCUUACGCGCUGGGCUACACACGUGCUACAAUGGCGGUGACAGUGGGCAGCAAUCUCGCAAGGGUGAGCUAAUCUCCAAAAGCCGUCUCAGUUCGGAUUGUUCUCUGCAACUCGAGAGCAUGAAGGCGGAAUCGCUAGUAAUCGCGGAUCAGCAUGCCGCGGUGAAUACGUUCCCAGGCCUUGUACACACCGCCCGUCACACCAUGGGAGUUGGAUUCACCCGAAGGCAGUGCGCUAACCGCAAGGAGGCAGCUGACCACGGUGGGUUCAGCGACUGGGGUGAAGUCGUAACAAGGUAGCCGU
Molecule: ribosomal RNA, 692 nt
Filed under: uncultured bacterium
Lineage: Bacteria
Description: bacterial SSU rRNA
Rfam family: Bacterial small subunit ribosomal RNA
Source: RNAcentral